CCCAGAUUUUAGUUUUAAUUAAGCUUUUCAGUAGUCAUUAGUUAAUCUUUUGUGUUUAGUAAAAAGUGGGUCUCAUUACAAAAUACAAUUCGUUGAUUGCAAUAUUUAAGUGAAAUGUUUAAUCCAACGAUCAUGUUUAGUAGACAUUACACACUAUGUUAUGUUUAUGCGAGGGGAGGAGUUUAUUCGAAAUUUGAACAUCGCUGUUAGUGUCAACUGUCCUGUGGCUGCUGCGCGCUGAAACCAACUGAGACAGAGGAUUUUUCUGGAACGGAGGGCUUUUGGAGUGCGACUUCAUACCAAGUGACAGACUAAUGAACCAGCUGACAUCUGCACACUGGUGCUCAGAGGACUUCCUCUUCUGCUUGGUGACAAGCCUACAGACUUCUACAAAACAUGCAUUGGUGAUGAUGGUGACUCGCUCCACCAAGUUGACAUU
Molecule: long non-coding RNA, 439 nt
Organism: Scatophagus argus
Lineage: Eukaryota; Metazoa; Chordata; Actinopteri; Scatophagidae
Exons: 3
Source: RefSeq, a predicted model, not a curated record